This 245-nucleotide ribosomal RNA is filed under the name uncultured Parachlamydia sp. Its description in RNAcentral is "partial 16S ribosomal RNA". It matches the Rfam family "Bacterial small subunit ribosomal RNA", at positions 524 to 768 of the family's 1533-position model. The record is from RNAcentral. Lineage: Bacteria; Pseudomonadati; Chlamydiota; Chlamydiia; Parachlamydiales; Parachlamydiaceae.
AACGGAGGGUGCAAGCAUUAAUCGGAUUUAUUGGGCGUAAAGGGCGCGUAGGCGGAGAUAUUAGUCAGAUGUGAAAUCCUGGGGCUCAACCUCAGAACUGCAUUUGAAACUGUAUCUCUCGAGGGUAGGAGGAGAAAACGGAAUUCCACAAGUAGCGGUGAAAUGCGUAGAUAUGUGGAAGAACACCGGUGGCGAAGGCGGUUUUCUAUCUUAUUCCUGACGCUGAGGCGCGAAAGCAAGGGGAU